This 774-nucleotide ribosomal RNA is filed under the name uncultured Neocallimastigales. Its description in RNAcentral is "partial large subunit ribosomal RNA". It matches the Rfam family "Eukaryotic large subunit ribosomal RNA", at positions 18 to 644 of the family's 3401-position model. The record is from RNAcentral. Lineage: Eukaryota; Fungi; Neocallimastigomycota; Neocallimastigomycetes; Neocallimastigales.
CAGACGAUGCGUCAUGCAUAUCAAUAAGCGGAGGAAAAGAAACUAACAAGGAUUCCCCUAGUAACGGCGAGUGAAGCGGGAAGAGCUCAAAUUUGAAAUCUUAAAGGGUUUCCCUUUACGAAUUGUAGUUUAAAGAAGUGUUUUCUGUUGAGGUUUUGGUAAAAGUUCUUUGGAAUAGGACAUCAUAGAGGGUGAGAAUCCCGUAUUUGACCUUUACUUUCAACUUUGUGAUACACUUUCAAAGAGUCGGAUUGUUUGGGAAUGCAGUCCAAAAUGGGUGGUAAAUUUCAUCUAAAGCUAAAUAUUGGCGAGAGACCGAUAGCGAACAAGUACCGUGAGGGAAAGAUGAAAAGAACUUUGAAAAGAGAGUUAAACAGUACGUGAAAUUGUCAAAAGGGAAGCGUUUGACACCAGUGUUGUUUUUCUGAAAAUCAAUUAAAGAACUGUUUAUGCUAAGCUGUUUAGACUUUAUCAGCUAUACUGUUUAGUUUUGAGCUUUUCUUUAAUGCACUUUUCAGUUAACAAGUCAACAUCAAUUUCUUUUGCUGUAAAAAAGCUUGAGGAAGGUGGCUUGAGAUUCGUCUUAAGUGUUUAUAGCCUCUUGCCUAUGCAGUCGGAGAGAUUGAGGUCUGCAGCGUAGAUCCUUCGGGGCUAAAUGCAUUUGUGCUAAGUUAUAACAUUUUAUAGACAACUUGUUGACUAUGAUUUGUCUUGUAGCUUACUCGCUUAUGUUAUUUUACCUACGCUUAGGAUGUUGAAUCUGUGCGAGACUAC